UAUGGUCACAUCAUGUUGAAACACCACUACCUGUAAGAUCUCUGAAGUUAAGCAACAUUGAGCCUAGUUAGUACCUAGAUGGGUGACCACUUGAGAAUACCAGGUGCUGUGA
Molecule: non-coding RNA, 112 nt
Organism: Acanthosepion pharaonis
Lineage: Eukaryota; Metazoa; Mollusca; Cephalopoda; Sepiida; Sepiidae
Source: the annotation of a GenBank genome assembly